Long non-coding RNA from Entelurus aequoreus (snake pipefish), 708 nucleotides. RefSeq lists it as uncharacterized. The transcript has 3 exons. Lineage: Eukaryota; Metazoa; Chordata; Actinopteri; Syngnathiformes; Syngnathidae. The record is from RefSeq and is a predicted model, not a curated record.
CCGAGGCACCAUCUUUACAACCCAGUUGCUAGGAAACUAACAUUUGAUCACAUGACAAGGAAUCGAUGGAUUUCACAAGAAAAUCAAUGAGUAAAUGAAGAACUCUUGAAGGAAAAGUGAAUCGUGGAUGAGUAACAAUUCAGUUCAGCAGCUGGAAGUCUGACCUUCACGGCGCUCAGGACGGCGGACAAUUAGCAAGACAAGCGGCGGCCCUUUUCCUCUGAUGUCCCACCACUGGUGUCACCGGCGUGGACGAGACACCAGGAGACAGUGAACCCCGUGAUCCGACAACUUUAAGCGACAUUUCAACCAGAGUGGGCGGCACUGGCUAAAGUGUCUUGCCCAAGGACACAACGGCAGUGACCCGGAUGGCGGAAACGGGGAUCGAACCUGGAACCCUCAAGUUGCUGGCACGGUGUGUCACGUUUGACGUCGUAAUUGUGUCUUUAUUACCAAAGCUGUUUUUUGACACUGAAUUUUGUGCGUGGUAAUUUUAGGAACUGAAUUUUUUUUUUUUUUUUUACAUCCAAUUUUGCUUUCAUUGAACAAAGUCAGUGUUUUAAAAGUCAGUGUAAGAAAAAACAGUGUAUAAAUAAUCAGUGUGUAAAAAUUAUGUGUAAAAAAAACGUCAUUGUAAAAAAAAUCAGUCUACACAAUUCAGUGUUAAAAAAAAAAAAACGGUUUUAAAAUUUAGUGUAAAAAAAAAAU